UCCUACGGGAGGCAGCAGUGGGGAAUAUUGCACAAUGGGCGGAAGCCUGAUGCAGCAACGCCGCGUGCGGGAUGACGGCCUUCGGGUUGUAAACCGCUUUCGCCUGUGACGAAGCGUGAGUGACGGUAGUGGGUAAAGAAGCACCGGCUAACUACGUGCCAGCAGCCGCGGUGAUACGUAGGGUGCGAGCGUUGUCCGGAUUUAUUGGGCGUAAAGGGCUCGUAGGUGGUUGAUCGCGUCGGAAGUGUAAUCUUGGGGCUUAACCCUGAGUGUGCUUUCGAUACGGGUUGACUUGAGGAAGGUAGGGGAGAAUGGAAUUCCUGGUGGAGCGGUGGAAUGCGCAGAUAUCAGGAGGAACACCAGUGGCGAAGGCGGUUCUCUGGGCCUUUCCUGACGCUGAGGAGCGAAAGCGUGGGGAGCGAACAGGCUUAGAUACCCUGGUAGUCCACGCUGUAAAC
This 458-nucleotide ribosomal RNA is filed under the name uncultured bacterium. RNAcentral's name for it is "bacterial SSU rRNA". It matches the Rfam family "Bacterial small subunit ribosomal RNA", at positions 337 to 807 of the family's 1533-position model. The record is from RNAcentral.